UACGAAGGGGGCUAGCGUUGCUCGGAAUCACUGGGCGUAAAGGGCGCGUAGGCGGGUUUUUAAGUCAGGGGUGAAAUCCUGGAGCUCAACUCCAGAACUGCCUUUGAUACUGAAGAUCUUGAGUCCGGGAGAGGUGAGUGGAACUGCGAGUGUAGAGGUGAAAUUCGUAGAUAUUCGCAAGAACACCAGUGGCGAAGGCGGCUCACUGGCCCGGUACUGACGCUGAGGCGCGAAAGCGUGGGGAGCAAACAGG
Molecule: ribosomal RNA, 253 nt
Filed under: uncultured bacterium
Lineage: Bacteria
Description: partial 16S ribosomal RNA
Rfam family: Bacterial small subunit ribosomal RNA
Source: RNAcentral